Long non-coding RNA from Penaeus indicus, 563 nucleotides. RefSeq lists it as uncharacterized. The record is from RefSeq and is a predicted model, not a curated record. The transcript has 3 exons. Lineage: Eukaryota; Metazoa; Arthropoda; Malacostraca; Decapoda; Penaeidae.
CCUCGGCGGGGACACACACACACCUGUUCGAGCUCGUGUUUUUCAUCGUGUUUCGUGAAUGACAGACCCGAUUCAGGGCAGGACAGAGGAUUUUAGUUGUUUUUAGAGUACUAGUGGACGUUUGCGUGAGGUGGUUUUUAUAAAGGAGUGGCAAAGCGAGUGGAGGAUUGGUGAAAAGGGAUAUUCUAGGAGAGGAAGGUGGUGUGUUUGGGGUCUCCUCCCGACCGCCGCCCACUGCUCGGGACUGUCAGCUGUCAACUGUAAAAGGCGCUGCCGCCGUCUGCCCCAAUGAUAGGGUGAAAUUGUUGCACCGAGCAGCAGAGGCAGCAGCAGUGGGAAGCAGCGGGAGUUUGCAAUAUCCGGAGCAGCAGCGGCAACAGCAGCAGCAGCAACCACGGCGGGAACAGCAGAGAUGGAGUGGGACCCGCGCGAGGAAGAGGACCUCCUGGCCAACACCACCGUCGAUAUCAGUGAGUACCGCCGCGCCGACGACAGCAGCGACGGGGAGGACGCGCCCGCCACGGCCCAGCUCCUCCGCCUGGGCACCGAGGACUCGCCGAAGG